RNAcentral lists this ribosomal RNA (894 nucleotides) under uncultured organism. RNAcentral describes it as "bacterial SSU rRNA". It matches the Rfam family "Bacterial small subunit ribosomal RNA", at positions 23 to 962 of the family's 1533-position model. The record is from RNAcentral.
CUCAGGAUGAACGCUGGCGGUCUGCUUAACACAUGCAAGUCGAACGGGCUCUUCGGAGCUAGUGGCGGACGGGUGAGUAACGCGUGAGGAUCUGCCUUCAGGAGGGGGAUAACGACUGGAAACGGUCGCUAAUACCGCAUAUGCCUACGGGUGAAAGAUUUAUCGCCUGGAGAUGAACUCGCGUCAGAUUAGCUAGUUGGUGGGGUAAGAGCCUACCAAGGCGACGAUCUGUAGCUGGUCUGAGAGGAUGAUCAGCCACACUGGGACUGAGACACGGCCCAGACUCCUACGGGAGGCAGCAGUGGGGAAUUUUCCGCAAUGGGCGCAAGCCUGACGGAGCAAGACCGCGUGCGGGAUGACGGCCUAAUGGUUGUAAACCGCUUUUCUCUGGGAAGAUGAUGACGGUACCAGAGGAAUCAGCCUCGGCUAACUCCGUGCCAGCAGCCGCGGUAAUACGGAGGAGGCAAGCGUUAUCCGGAAUUAUUGGGCGUAAAGCGUCCGUAGGUGGUUAUUCAAGUCUGCUAUCAAAGCGUGGGGCUUAACUCCAUAGAGGCAGUGGAAACUGGAUGACUUGAGUGCGGUAGGGGUCGAGGGAAUUCCCAGUGUAGCGGUGAAAUGCGUAGAUAUUGGGAAGAACACCAGUGGCGAAAGCGCUCGACUGGGCCUGCACUGACACUGAGGGACGAAAGCUAGGGGAGCGAAAGGGAUUAGAUACCCCUGUAGUCCUAGCCGUAAACGAUGGAUACUAGGUGUUGCUCGUCAUCGACCCGAGCAGUGCCGUAGCCAACGCGUUAAGUAUCCCGCCUGGGGAGUACGCUCGCAAGAGUGAAACUCAAAGGACUUGACGGGGGCCCGCACAAGCGGUGGAGUAUGUGGUUUAAUUCGAUGCAACGC